AUACUUACCUGGCGUAAGGGUUAACCGUGAUCAUUAAGGCGGUUCCCUCAGAAGGAGACCUUACCAUUGCACUGCGGUUUGGUUGAAUUCUGCGAGUGUCCCUAAUGCGGACACCUCGGACGCGUAAUUUUUGAUAGUCGGGGCUGCGUGCGCGCUGCCCUGG
Molecule: small nuclear RNA, 163 nt
Organism: Planococcus citri (citrus mealybug)
Lineage: Eukaryota; Metazoa; Arthropoda; Insecta; Hemiptera; Pseudococcidae
Product: U1 spliceosomal RNA
Exons: 1
Source: RefSeq, a predicted model, not a curated record